AACGAACGCUGGCGGCAUGCCUAACACAUGCAAGUCGAACGAGAUCUUCGGGUCUAGUGGCGCACGGGUGCGUAACGCGUGGGAAUCAGCCCUUUGGUUCGGAAUAACGGUUGGAAACGACUGCUAAUACCGGAUGAUGACGAAAGUCCAAAGAUUUAUCGCCAGAGGAUGAGCCCGCGUGGGAUUAGCUAGUUGGUGUGGUAAAGGCGCACCAAGGCGACGAUCCUUAGCUGGUCUGAGAGGAUGAUCAGCCACACUGGGACUGAGACACGGCCCAGACUCCUACGGGAGGCAGCAGUGGGGAAUAUUGGACAAUGGGCGAAAGCCUGAUCAAGCAAUGCCGCGUGGGUGAUGAAGGCCUUAGGGUUGUAAAGCUCUUUUACCCGGGAUGAUAAUGACAGUACCGGGAGAAUAAGCUCCGGCUAACUCCGUGCCAGCCGCCGCCGUAA
RNAcentral lists this ribosomal RNA (449 nucleotides) under uncultured bacterium. RNAcentral's name for it is "partial 16S ribosomal RNA". It matches the Rfam family "Bacterial small subunit ribosomal RNA", at positions 29 to 523 of the family's 1533-position model. The record is from RNAcentral.